GAUGAACGCUGGCGGCGUGCCUAAUACAUGCAAGUCGAGCGAACGGACGAGAAGCUUGCUUCUCUUAUGUUAGCGGCGGACGGGUGAGUAACACGUGGAUAACCUACCUAUAAGACUGGGAUAACUUCGGGAAACCGGAGCUAAUACCGGAUAAUAUUUUUAACCGCAUGGUUCAAAAGUGAAAGACGGUCUUGCUGUCACUUAUAGAUGUAUCCGCGCUGCAUUAGCUAGUUGGUAAGGUAACGGCUUACCAAGGCAACGAUGCAUAGCCGACCUGAGAGGGUGAUCGGCAACACUGGAACUGAGAAACGGUCCAGACUCCUACGGGAGGAAGCAGUAGGGAAUCUUCCGAAAUGGGCGAAAGCCUGACGGAGCAACGCCGCGUGAGUGAUGAAGGUCUUCGGAUCGUAAAACUCUGUUAUUAGGGAAGAACAUAUGUGUAAGUAACUGUGCACAUCGUGACGGUACCUAAUCAGAAAGCCACGGCUAACUACGUG
Molecule: ribosomal RNA, 497 nt
Filed under: uncultured bacterium
Lineage: Bacteria
Description: partial 16S ribosomal RNA
Rfam family: Bacterial small subunit ribosomal RNA
Source: RNAcentral